UACGGAGGAUGCGAGCGUUAUCCGGAUUUAUUGGGUUUAAAGGGUGCGUAGGCGGCGUGUCAAGUCAGAUGUGAAAUACCGGGGCUUAACCCCGGAGCUGCAUUUGAAACUAGGCAUGCUUGAGUUCAGGAGGGGCGAGGCGGAAUUCCUGGUGUAGCGGUGAAAUGCGUAGAUAUCAGGAGGAACACCGGUGGCGAAGGCGGCCUGCUGGACUGACACUGACGCUGAGGCACGAAAGCGUGGGGAGCAAACAGGAUUAGAUACCCU
RNAcentral lists this ribosomal RNA (267 nucleotides) under uncultured prokaryote. RNAcentral's name for it is "partial 16S ribosomal RNA". It matches the Rfam family "Bacterial small subunit ribosomal RNA", at positions 524 to 788 of the family's 1533-position model. The record is from RNAcentral.